CGUAGGGUGCGAGCGUUAAUCGGAAUUACUGGGCGUAAAGCGUGCGCAGGCGGUUUUGUAAGACAGAUGUGAAAUCCCCGGGCUCAACCUGGGACCUGCAUUUGUGACUGCAUAGCUAGAGUACGGUAGAGGGGGAUGGAAUUCCGCGUGUAGCAGUGAAAUGCGUAGAUAUGCGGAGGAACACCGAUGGCGAAGGCAAUCCCCUGGACCUGUACUGACGCUCAUGCACGAAAGCGUGGGGAGCAAACAGGAUUAGGUACCCUGGUAGUCCACGCCCUAAACGAUGUCAACUGGUUGUUGGGUCUUCACUGACUCAGUAACGAAGCUAACGCGUGAAAUUGACCGCCUGGGGAGUACGGCCGCAAGGUUG
Molecule: ribosomal RNA, 370 nt
Filed under: uncultured organism
Description: bacterial SSU rRNA
Rfam family: Bacterial small subunit ribosomal RNA
Source: RNAcentral